This 511-nucleotide ribosomal RNA is filed under the name uncultured Verrucomicrobium sp. RNAcentral describes it as "bacterial SSU rRNA". It matches the Rfam family "Bacterial small subunit ribosomal RNA", at positions 70 to 578 of the family's 1533-position model. The record is from RNAcentral. Lineage: Bacteria; Pseudomonadati; Verrucomicrobiota; Verrucomicrobiia; Verrucomicrobiales; Verrucomicrobiaceae.
UCUUUGGAGCUUGCUUUGGAGAUUUCUAGUGGCGGACGGGUGAGUAACACGUGAGUAACCUGCCUUGAAGUGGGGGAUAGCCCGGGGAAACUCGGAUUAAUACCGCAUAUGGUCUUCGGAUCAAAGAUGGCGUAAGCUGUCGCUUCGAGAUGGGCUCGCGGCCUAUCAGCUAGUUGGUGAGGUAACGGCUCACCAAGGCGACGACGGGUAGCUGGUCUGAGAGGACGAUCAGUCACACUGGAACUGAGACACGGUCCAGACACCUACGGGUGGCAGCAGUCGAGAAUCAUUCGCAAUGGACGCAAGUCUGACGGUGCGACGCCGCGUGGAGGAUGAAGGCCUUAGGGUCGUAAACUCCUGUCAUCAGGGAGUAAGGCUUUAUAUAGUAACUGAUAUAAGGAUUGAUAGUACCUGAAGAGGAAGGGACGGCUAACUUCGUGCCAGCAGCCGCGGUAAUACGAAGGUCCCAAGCGUUGUUCGGAUUUACUGGGCGUAAAGCGUCUGUAGGCGG